RNAcentral lists this ribosomal RNA (586 nucleotides) under uncultured bacterium. RNAcentral's name for it is "bacterial SSU rRNA". It matches the Rfam family "Bacterial small subunit ribosomal RNA", at positions 338 to 916 of the family's 1533-position model. The record is from RNAcentral.
CCUACGGGAGGCAGCAGUAAGGAAUAUUGGUCAAUGGGCGCAAGCCUGAACCAGCCAUGCCGCGUGCAGGAAGACGGCCCUAUGGGUUGUAAACUGCUUUUGAACAAGAGAAAACCUCGGUACGUGUACCGAGCUGAUAGUAUUGUUAGAAUAAGCAUCGGCUAACUUCGUGCCAGCAGCCGCGGUAAGACGAAGGAUGCAAGCGUUAUCCGGAUUCAUUGGGUUUAAAGGGUGCGUAGGCGGCCUGAUAAGUCAGUGGUGAAAUCUCUCAGCUUAACUGAGAAACUGCCAUUGAUACUGUCGGGCUUGAGUACAGAUGAUGUGGGCGGAAUAUGACAUGUAGUGGUGAAAUACUUAGAUAUGUCAUAGAACACCGAUUGCGAAGGCAGCUCACAAAACUAGUAACUGACGCUGAGGCACGAAAGUGCGGGGAUCAAACAGGAUUAGAUACCCUGGUAGUCCGCACCGUAAACGAUAGAUUACUCGUUGUUGGCAAUAUGACCGUCAGCGACCAAGACGAAAGCGAUAAGUAAUCCACCCUGGGGAGUACGCCGGCGAACGGUGAAACUCGAAAGGAAUUAGACGG